AGUGAACGCUGGCGGUAGGCCUAACACAUGCAAGUCGAACGGCAGCACAGUAAGAGCUUGCUCUUACGGGUGGCGAGUGGCGGACGGGUGAGGAAUACAUCGUAAUCUACUUUUUCGUGGGGGAUAACGUAGGGAAACUUACGCUAAUACCGCAUACGACCUACGGGUGAAAGCAGGGGAUCUUCGGACCUUGCGCGAUUGAAUGAGCCGAUGUCGGGUUAGCUAGUUGGCGGGGUAAAGGCCCACCAAGGCGACGAUCCGUAGCUGGUCUGAGAGGAUGAUCAGCCACACUGGAACUGAGACACGGUCCAGACUCCUACGGGAGGCAGCAGUGGGGAAUAUUGGACAAUGGGCGCAAGCCUGAUCCAGCCAUACCGCGUGGGUGAAGAAGGCCUUCGGGUUGUAAAGCCCUUUUGUUGGGAAAGAAAAGCAGCAGGUUAAUACCCCGCUGUUCUGACGGUACCCAAAGAAUAAGCACCGGCUAACUUCGUG
This 492-nucleotide ribosomal RNA is filed under the name uncultured bacterium. RNAcentral describes it as "partial 16S ribosomal RNA". It matches the Rfam family "Bacterial small subunit ribosomal RNA", at positions 29 to 507 of the family's 1533-position model. The record is from RNAcentral.